UGGAUCUGUUGUGUCAUUCUCCGACGACGAUAGUGGUUUGGAUCUUCUCGGUUUUUUGUAGGUCUGGAUCUGCUCGGUCCCUUGUUGGCUGGAGGGCGGUGAAGUUGUUAUGGGUGUUGGAGCCAUCGAAUGCGUUCGGUGAUUGAAACAGAAGCUUGGUUAGGGGGAGUGGGCCUGGGCCUAGAGUAGGGAUCGAUUACUAUCUCUCUCAAUCGCGCUCCCACGGUUUUCAGAAUACGCUUGCGGUAUCCAUCUUGUUUCUCUUCUCUCAUCUUUAUAGCUUUAUAGCUUGCAUGCUGCAGAUUUUGAAUGUUUAUGUGUGAUGGAAUUAUUUGGGUGUUUUUUGAAAUUUGGGUUUUUGAUUGUGUUGGAAGGUAUGUAUGGUCCACAAUAGACAACCCUGAGAUGGUGGUACUGGAGAAUGGCCUUCGAGCAGUAAAUAUCUUUGGCCACUCUAGCAAAUCAUUGUGGUACUGUGAGCACGUUACCAUUUGCUUUGAAAGAGUUUGUCCAUAUCAAAGAAGGGUUGCAGUUGUGGAGAAGAAAUUUUUCUAUUUCUGGAUGUAUUGGAAAUUUUUA
Molecule: long non-coding RNA, 579 nt
Organism: Rosa chinensis
Lineage: Eukaryota; Viridiplantae; Streptophyta; Magnoliopsida; Rosales; Rosaceae
Exons: 2
Source: RefSeq, a predicted model, not a curated record